RNAcentral lists this transfer RNA (72 nucleotides) under Wolfiporia cocos. RNAcentral describes it as "tRNA-Phe". It matches the Rfam family "tRNA". From Rfam's summary of the family: Transfer RNA (tRNA) molecules are approximately 80 nucleotides in length. Their secondary structure includes four short double-helical elements and three loops (D, anti-codon, and T loops). Further hydrogen bonds mediate the characteristic L-shaped molecular structure. tRNAs have two regions of fundamental functional importance: the anti-codon, which is responsible for specific mRNA codon recognition, and the 3' end, to which the tRNAs corresponding amino acid is attached (by aminoacyl-tRNA synthetases). tRNAs cope with the degeneracy of the genetic code in two manners: having more than one tRNA (with a specific anti-codon) for a particular amino acid; and 'wobble' base-pairing, i.e. permitting non-standard base-pairing at the 3rd anti-codon position. The record is from RNAcentral. Lineage: Eukaryota; Fungi; Basidiomycota; Agaricomycetes; Polyporales; Phaeolaceae.
ACCUCGGUUGCUUAGUGGUCAAAGCGCUAAAUUGAAGCUUUAGAGAUGUGAGUUCAAUUCUCCCCCGGGGUA